GAUGAACGCUGACAGAAUGCUUAACACAUGCAAGUCGAUUCGAUUUACCUUCGGGUAUUGAGGAUGGCGGACGGGUGAGUAACGCGUAAGGAACUUGCCUCUUGGUCUGGGACAACUGUUGGAAACGACAGCUAAUACCGGAUAUUAUGAGAUUCUCGCAUGGGAAACUUAUGAAAGCUAUAUGCGCCAAGAGAGAGCCUUGCGUUCCAUUAGCUAGUUGGUGGGGUAACGGCCCACCAAGGCGACGAUGGAUAGCCGGCCUGAGAGGGUGAACGGCCACAAGGGGACUGAGACACGGCCCUUACUCCUACGGGAGGCAGCAGUGGGGAAUAUUGGACAAUGGGCCACAAGCCUGAUCCAGCAAUUCUGUGUGCACGAUGAAGGUCUUCGGAUUGUAAAGUGCUUUCAGUUGGGAAGAAGAAAGUGACGGUACCAACAGAAGAAGCGACGGCUAAAUACGUGCCAGCAGCCGCGGUAAUACGUAUGUCGCAAGCGUUAUCCGGAUUUAUUGGGCGUAAAGCGCGUCUAGGCGGAAAAAUAAGUCUGAUGUUAAAAUGCGGGGCUCAACUCCGUAUUGCGUUGGAAACUGUUUUUCUAGAGUACUGGAGAGGUGGGCGGAACUACAAGUGUAGAGGUGAAAUUCGUAGAUAUUUGUAGGNNUGCCGAUGGAGAAGUCAGCUCACUGGACAGANACUGACGCUAAAGCGCGAAAGCGUGGGGAGCAAACAGGANUAGAUACCCUGGUAGUCCACGCCGUAAACGAUGAUCACUAG
RNAcentral lists this ribosomal RNA (773 nucleotides) under uncultured prokaryote. RNAcentral's name for it is "bacterial SSU rRNA". It matches the Rfam family "Bacterial small subunit ribosomal RNA", at positions 28 to 819 of the family's 1533-position model. The record is from RNAcentral.